GGGAAUAUGGCUUAGUGGUAGAGUACUUGCUUCACAUGCAUGAAGUCCUGGGUUCGAUUCCUCAGUACCA
Non-coding RNA from Dipodomys ordii (Ord's kangaroo rat), 70 nucleotides. The record is from Rfam. NCBI's taxonomy places the organism in Eukaryota, Metazoa, Chordata, Mammalia, Rodentia, Heteromyidae.